UACAGAGGUCCCGAGCGUUAGGCGGAAUCACUGGGCUUAAAGCGUGUGUAGGUGGAUCGUUAAGUACCUUGUGAAAUCUCCCGGCUCAACUGGGAGGGGGCCUUGCAGACGGGCGGGCUUGAGGGUCGCAGAGGGGCGUGGAAUUCCGGGUGGAGCGGUGAAAUGCGUAGAGAUCCGGAGGAACACCGACGGCGAAGGCAGCGCCCUGGACGACACCUGACGCUCAGGCACGAAAGCUGGGGGAGCAAACAGG
This 253-nucleotide ribosomal RNA is filed under the name uncultured bacterium. RNAcentral's name for it is "partial 16S ribosomal RNA". It matches the Rfam family "Bacterial small subunit ribosomal RNA", at positions 524 to 776 of the family's 1533-position model. The record is from RNAcentral.